UUCCUUCAACCUAAUUGAGCGUUCCCACAAUUUAACGAAACCAAUUAGAAAGACCGGCAAUUAAAAGGACACAGAGUUGGAGCGAUUCACAAUGGGCUUUGGCUCCAUCUCCGGCGACAAGCAAUGACAAAGGCACCACGUCCGAUGUUUCAGGAUUCAAGACAAUUCAAGGUUUGAGGAAAAUCCGAUCCAAUUUAUUGUCAUUAACUUAAGAAAUUAUGUGGAAAUAAGAGGAUUGCUUGUUGGAGUAAAUUAGGAAGUUGCCUUAAUCUUGAAACUGCUGGAGACAGUGCACUGACAUGCUUCACAAGGUCAUGGAGUCUGCAGUCCCUGUUGACAACAACUGGGUGAUGAAUGAGUUGUUUGGGACAGUUUGUCAGAGUAAACUCCAAAGUCCAGAUACACUGGAAGGGAGCAGCUGAAAUGGUUGACAUGUUUAGCUGUUUGCACUCCAUAGGCUAGGAUAAGGACCAAUAAGCUUGCGUUCAUUAGUGGAAAACUGCUUAAGCAGAAACUAUGACACAGUUGGAAGCUAUUGGAGUCAAGAGACUACAAGUAAGUUACUUUACCAUAACACGUGAUGAAAGUCAUUUUUCUUCUGCUUUCUUUAAAGGGUAUUUACUUCAACAAGAUAGCAACAGGGCAACCAUACGACUACCUCUCUGAUAGCAAAUGUGGCAAGUAGGACGGAAGAUUAUCUAAUAUGGAGAAGGAAUAUCUUUGAUCCUACAAAGAAACUGAAUGACAUAAAAAUAGAUAUGACUUAUUUGGAAUGGUACAAGAAGGUGUGGAUUGAGUAGGGAGGAUACUAUGAUAGUUACAAACUUUGGCAUUGGAAAACUAGGGAUGAAAUCAAAAGCAGACAUGAAAUCAUGGAGCGCAAGAAAAUUCUCACUCGAUACUAGAAAGACAUAGUUGAUGAAGCAGAGCAAAUGCCUCAAAAAGAAUGGGUGGCUUUUCAGACUCGUUGUAUUUAUGCAAGAAGCAAUAAGAAUGGUUGAACCACUUGACAAUAGAUAGACAAUAGAUGGUUUGAGUAGGAGAAGAAAGGUGUUGCCCAUAUAUUUACAUUGAGUGGAAAAAUCAAUUUCCACUAGUAUUGCUAUUA
Coffea arabica (coffee) is the source of this 1108-nucleotide non-coding RNA. The record is from RefSeq and is a predicted model, not a curated record. Lineage: Eukaryota; Viridiplantae; Streptophyta; Magnoliopsida; Gentianales; Rubiaceae.